UGAGUAUGCAGCCAAGGGUCUCAGCUUUGCAAAGCUGAUG
RNAcentral lists this transfer RNA (40 nucleotides) under Schizorchis sp. 1 HMT-2017. Its description in RNAcentral is "tRNA-Cys". The record is from RNAcentral. Lineage: Eukaryota; Metazoa; Platyhelminthes; Cestoda; Cyclophyllidea; Anoplocephalidae.